GGUGGCUCUUAUAUUUCUUCUACUCUUCUUUUCUCCUCUCUCCUUGUACCGGCGAGCAAAAUGACGACGUCGUUCGGAACUACGGCGACACCGGCAGCAUCUGCUUCACCGGCGGUAUUUCCGGCCAAAAAUGCCCCGAAAUCCUUGACUUUGUUACCUUUCUGCCAUCAUCGCCAUUACAAUCAUUUGCGUUCCAAAUUAUCUAUCACGCCCAAACUCCGAUUCUCCUGUAAGGGUCUACAAUCUAAUUGGAAUCAUUCAGUCGUAACUAGAGCCCAAUCGAAUGAGGUUGCUCUUGGUGGAUCUUCAAAUAAUGCAGCUACUCCUAUCACUCAGUCAGAAGAGGUGAAAUCACCAAGUGAGACUUCAUCUGCAACUUCGGUAUCAGAGGAAGCAAUAUCUAACUUUAUUAGCCAAGUUUCAAGCCUUGUCAAGCUAGUUGAUUCUAGGGAUGUUGUGGAGCUGCAGUUAAAACAAUUUGAUUGUGAAAUUCUAAUCCGUAAGAAGGAGGCACUACCACAACCACCUGCUCCUGUUCCUGCACAAGCUCCAUUUAUACAAUCAUAUCAUGUACCAUCUAUACAAUCUAAUGCAUCUCCUCCACCUGCACCUGCACCUUCACCUGCUCCAAUUCAAACCCCUGCACCGUCUCCAGCUGCAGCAAAGUCAGCUGAUUCAUCUCUUCCUCCGCUCAAAUCCCCAAUGGCAGGGACAUUCUAUAGAAGUCCAGCACCCGGUGAACCAGCAUUUGUGAAGGUCGGAGACAAAGUGCAGAAGGGUCAAGUUCUUUGCAUUAUUGAAGCGAUGAAGUUGAUGAACGAAAUAGAGGCUGAUCGAUCAGGAACCAUCGUUGAGGUUGUUGCUGAAGAUGGAAAACCUGUCAGUGUUGAUACUCCUCUGUUUGUGAUCAAGCCAUAGAACCGUUCGAGUAAGACCCGGGAAACAAUAUGCAGAGGAACUUGGCAAGUGUUUGUUUACCUUGGGCUUAUGAUAUUUUGCAGUAUUUCAGUUUCAGUGAGUAUGUUUGCAAUGACUGGUAGCGUGAUGGAAAUUGGAAUAGACGAUUCUGGUUAAAACUCAUUAGGAGAGUUUAGUGUUUAAUCUGAGGUAUUCUUUGGCAUUUUAUUGUGGGAUUCUAGCUUACUCAUUUUUUCCUUUUUCAGUUUGACAUAUUUAUGUGAGGUUUGUACCUCGAUAACAAUCUCAUCGCAUUAUGAUAAGGAUUGUAUGCAGUUUUGAUUAUUUAGCCCCUGGCCAAU
RNAcentral lists this unclassified non-coding RNA (1259 nucleotides) under Hevea brasiliensis (rubber tree). The record is from RNAcentral. Lineage: Eukaryota; Viridiplantae; Streptophyta; Magnoliopsida; Malpighiales; Euphorbiaceae.